UGAAGUUCUGCAUGGACUUUAGUAAUGCAAGUUUCACAGGAAGUUAUUUGGAAAUUUCUUCAUUUGAGAGUCUAACUCUGAAGCAUCAAAUGAAGAAUUAAGGCAACAACUUCAAGAAGUUCUAGAGGAAGUAGAAAUUUUAAGAGUUGAGUUGGAGGCAUCUCAAAGACAACUUGAAGGCAAAGAGCAAGCAUUAAAAAUUCUGCAAAGCAUGG
Sceloporus undulatus (fence lizard) is the source of this 215-nucleotide long non-coding RNA. RefSeq lists it as uncharacterized. Lineage: Eukaryota; Metazoa; Chordata; Lepidosauria; Squamata; Phrynosomatidae. The transcript is spliced from 3 exons. The record is from RefSeq and is a predicted model, not a curated record.